Chelonia mydas (Green sea turtle) is the source of this 887-nucleotide long non-coding RNA. RefSeq lists it as uncharacterized. The record is from RefSeq and is a predicted model, not a curated record. The transcript is spliced from 3 exons. Lineage: Eukaryota; Metazoa; Chordata; Testudines; Cheloniidae.
AAUGGAGGUGGGGACUGCAACACUUUCCAGAAAGCUGAGGGACCAGGGUCUAUGCUCCCAAUAGACUGAUGUGGGAGCUACUGCAGAGAGGAAUUGUUCCAGGAACCAAACAGACAAAAAGCACAUUGUGUGCAAUCUUUAAUUGCUGAGGCUUUGAGAAGGCUUAAAAUAAAACAGCCAACCCUGCUCGAAACUGCUUCCCUGAAUUCCCUGAGAGAGCGCAGACAGAAUUAACCAAGGGAGUGAGCUGACACAGCCAGAGCAAAGCCUGGCCUGGGAGGAGGAUUGUGAUAUAAGGCUGGCUACCAUUUGGGGAACAUAAACGUGAUCAAGGUACUGGAAAAAAGAAAUGGUUUUCCAGGCCUGUGGAGGACACCCAGCCACCUGUGCCAGAGAAGUUUCUGGUAAUGGUCACCCCUCUACAUAUUGCUAAGUGGAGUUAUCUGGUGGCCUAUGAAGGUGAAUCAAAUACUUUUACCCUGCUGUUAAACCCGAAGAACCAGAUUCAAUUUCUGCUGCACCAAAAUUUUGUUGAAUUAUGCUUACAGAACAGAGAGGCAAGUUGAGAGGAAAUUGACUGUUUUAAGUUAUCAGAUGGAGUUCCCAUAGAAGAGGAACAGAGAACCACAGUAAACAUCCACCAACCCACUAACUCCCACUGCACAGGCACCAAGUCCAGCCCCUGUAUCCAGUGAGCAACAUUAAAAGGGACAGGGAAACAGCAUCACACCACAACUUCCCUGAACUUUUGGAUUAACACUCCAAGCCAUUUAUCCUUCCACCUUCCACUGCUAUGAGACACAGCACUGUGUUUGUGGAACUGCUGGAGUGGAUGCUUCACCCACCCCCACUUUUCCUGGUUUCUGAAGAGUAGCUCAGCAUGGGCA